UACGGAGGGGGCUAGCGUUGUUCGGAAUUACUGGGCGUAAAGCGCACGUAGGCGGCUUUGCAAGUUAGAGGUGAAAGCCCGGGGCUCAACUCCGGAAUUGCCUUUAAAACUGCAUCGCUAGAAUUGUGGAGAGGUAAGUGGAAUUCCGAGUGUAGAGGUGAAAUUCGUAGAUAUUCGGAAGAACACCAGUGGCGAAGGCGACUUACUGGACACAUAUUGACGCUGAUGCGCGAAAGCCAGGGGAGCAAACGGG
Molecule: ribosomal RNA, 253 nt
Filed under: uncultured bacterium
Lineage: Bacteria
Description: partial 16S ribosomal RNA
Rfam family: Bacterial small subunit ribosomal RNA
Source: RNAcentral